UCAAUAAGAAGAAUCCAAUACAAAACAAAACACUACACUUAUACAAACAUCAGAUACAGAGAUAAAUGAUGUUUUCCCUUACAUAAACAGAUGCAGAUAUAGAGUUCAGUAGUGCAAAAAACACAGUCACUGGUAUAGAGAUAUGUGUGGGGGGGAUUGAUCUUGUCAGCUGAGUCAUUUUUCAUACACUCAACAAGUGGAUGAGUAUAUGUGUGUGUGUGUGUGUGUGUGUGUGUGUGUGUGUGUGUGUGUGUGUGUGUGUGUGUGUGUGUGUGUGUGUGUGUGUGUGUGAGUGUGUGUGUGUGUGUGUGUGUGUGUGAGAGAGAGAGUAUUGUGUACAAUGUACAUGGACCUGGAAAUGUUUCUGGAUGCUGAACCUGGCUGCUGACGUUCCUUCAUUACUUUUCAUUCCUUCUGUGAUGUUGAUAUUGAUGUCUGUUAUACAGUAAAAUUUGAUUUGAAUGUAAAAGGUUAUCUGUGCGUAGCCUACCUCCCCUGUCACAUUACAAAUGUGAAGAUCCAGGAUGAUGAUGAUGAUGAUGAUGAAGACAAAGCCUAGAAACUUACUCAUCACUAACUUGCAUUCAGGUGUCCAAACAUAGUGAACCCUUGUUGCCUUUGAUAUACAUAUACAGUAUUGUUGUAUGCAAAUAAGUCUUUUGCAUGCAGUAAUUUCGUAUUGUUCUGGUGUAAUGGUUGGUAUGUAUUCCUAAGUCAAGUAUUUUUUAAAAUUCUCUUUUCACAUUUAAACCAAUCACGUGCACUGAUAAUAAAUGCAUCCUAACUGGC
Long non-coding RNA from Tachysurus fulvidraco (yellow catfish), 789 nucleotides. RefSeq lists it as uncharacterized. The transcript has 2 exons. Lineage: Eukaryota; Metazoa; Chordata; Actinopteri; Siluriformes; Bagridae. The record is from RefSeq and is a predicted model, not a curated record.